GAGGAAUAUUGGUCAAUGGGCGCAAGCCUGAACCAGCCAUCCCGCGUGAAGGAUGAAGGUCCUAUGGAUUGUAAACUUCUUUUGUGCACCAAGAAUGGGCCUUACGUGUAAGGUUUUGACGGUAGUGCACGAAUAAGCAUCGGCUAACUCCGUGCCAGCAGCCGCGGUAAUACGGAGGAUGCAAGCGUUAUCCGGAUUCAUUGGGUUUAAAGGGUACGUAGGCGGCCUGUUAAGUCAGUGGUGAAAGUUUGCGGCUUAACCGUAAAAUUGCCAUUGAUACUGAUAGGCUUGAGUACAGUUGAGGUAGGCGGAAUGUGUAGUGUAGCGGUGAAAUGCUUAGAUAUUACACAGAACUCCGAUUGCGAAGGCAGCUUACUAAACUGAGACUGACGCUGAGGUACGAAAGCGUGGGUAGCGAAC
This 420-nucleotide ribosomal RNA is filed under the name uncultured bacterium. Its description in RNAcentral is "bacterial SSU rRNA". It matches the Rfam family "Bacterial small subunit ribosomal RNA", at positions 356 to 773 of the family's 1533-position model. The record is from RNAcentral.